RNAcentral lists this transfer RNA (72 nucleotides) under Pleodorina starrii. RNAcentral's name for it is "tRNA-Thr". It matches the Rfam family "tRNA". Rfam says of the family: Transfer RNA (tRNA) molecules are approximately 80 nucleotides in length. Their secondary structure includes four short double-helical elements and three loops (D, anti-codon, and T loops). The record is from RNAcentral. Lineage: Eukaryota; Viridiplantae; Chlorophyta; Chlorophyceae; Chlamydomonadales; Volvocaceae.
GCCUCGUUAGCUUAGUGGAAGAGCGUUCCCUUCGUAAGGGAAAGGUCUUGUGUUCAAUCCUCAGACGGUGCA